UUGAGAUUAAGUUAUUAAGGGCGCACGGUGAAUGCCUUGGCACUAGAAGCCGAUGAAGGACGUUACUAA
This 69-nucleotide ribosomal RNA is filed under the name Staphylococcus pettenkoferi. RNAcentral's name for it is "partial 23S ribosomal RNA". The record is from RNAcentral. Lineage: Bacteria; Bacillati; Bacillota; Bacilli; Caryophanales; Staphylococcaceae.